ACACGAACCGUACAAACGUUAUUCGGAAUUACUGGGCUUAAAGGGUGCGUAGGCGGCUCAGAAAGUUGGGCGUGAAAGCCCUCGGCUUAACCGAGGAACUGCGCUCAAUACUCCUGGGCUUGAGGGAGACAGAGGUGAGCGGAACUACGGGUGGAGCGGUGAAAUGCGUUGAUAUCCGUAGGAACACCAGUGGCGAAAGCGGCUCACUGGGUCUCUUCUGACGCUGAGGCACGAAAGCUAGGGGAGCGAACGGGAUUAGAUACCCCGGUAGUCCUAGCCGUAAACGAUGAGCACUAGAUCGAAGGGUACUCCAUAGCCUUUUGGUCGUAGCGAAAGUGUUAAGUGCUCCGCCUGGGGAUUAUGGUCGCAAGGCUGAA
Molecule: ribosomal RNA, 377 nt
Filed under: uncultured bacterium
Lineage: Bacteria
Description: bacterial SSU rRNA
Rfam family: Bacterial small subunit ribosomal RNA
Source: RNAcentral